GCGGAAGUGGCGUAACUGGUAGACGCACCAGAUUUAGGUUCUGGCGCCGCGAGGCGUAAGAGUUCAAGUCUCUUCUUCCGCACCA
This 85-nucleotide transfer RNA is filed under the name Vibrio cholerae. Its description in RNAcentral is "tRNA-Leu". It matches the Rfam family "tRNA". From Rfam's summary of the family: Transfer RNA (tRNA) molecules are approximately 80 nucleotides in length. Lineage: Bacteria; Pseudomonadati; Pseudomonadota; Gammaproteobacteria; Vibrionales; Vibrionaceae. The record is from RNAcentral.